GUGUUUGAGCAGUGUAUACACUAAAAUUGGAAUGAUACAGAGAUUAGCAUGGCUCCCUGCACAAGGAUGACGAAAAAAUUUGUGAAGCCUUUCAUAUUUAA
This 101-nucleotide small nuclear RNA is filed under the name Saimiri boliviensis boliviensis (Bolivian squirrel monkey). The record is from RNAcentral. Lineage: Eukaryota; Metazoa; Chordata; Mammalia; Primates; Cebidae.